GUUCUCCUUUAGUUCCAAUUUCUCAGGAACGCACACUCAGGUCAGAUUUUCAGCAGGUUAGGAGCUUAGUUAGCAAAGGUUACCAGCUCUGAGUUAAAUCCUGAAGCCAUGUGUUAUCAGCAGCCAGUAACUGACAUUGCUACCUUGGUUUCUCCUCUUCUUGUGGAUUUACUAAAGCAAUGACUCUGGAAAUGUGAUUGAUUUUAAUUGUUGGAAUUAAAAAAUAGUGUUUUCAUAUCAGACAUCAUGAUUUUCUAACCAUUGAUGAUUCUUAUGUAUCAUGGACACCUUUUUUGAAACUGUUUGUUGCUAAUACCCACCAAUUUGAUAACAAUAUUGUUUUCACCUAU
Molecule: long non-coding RNA, 350 nt
Filed under: Bos taurus (domestic cattle)
Lineage: Eukaryota; Metazoa; Chordata; Mammalia; Artiodactyla; Bovidae
Description: long non-coding RNA NONBTAT014868
Source: RNAcentral